GUUAGAGUGGCAGAGCCCGGUAUAUUGCAAAAGGCCUAAGCCCUUUGAACAGAGGUUCAAGUCCUCUCCCUAACU
RNAcentral lists this transfer RNA (75 nucleotides) under Selar crumenophthalmus (bigeye scad). RNAcentral describes it as "tRNA-Leu". It matches the Rfam family "tRNA". Rfam says of the family: Transfer RNA (tRNA) molecules are approximately 80 nucleotides in length. Their secondary structure includes four short double-helical elements and three loops (D, anti-codon, and T loops). Lineage: Eukaryota; Metazoa; Chordata; Actinopteri; Carangiformes; Carangidae. The record is from RNAcentral.